Molecule: long non-coding RNA, 225 nt
Organism: Oncorhynchus keta (chum salmon)
Lineage: Eukaryota; Metazoa; Chordata; Actinopteri; Salmoniformes; Salmonidae
Exons: 2
Source: RefSeq, a predicted model, not a curated record
UGAAGCCCAAUCCAUCAGGAGAGACCAGACUCACCCAGCUGUCUGUCCGUGAAGAGUGACGGGUCUAUGGACGUUUCUAUGAUUGCGAAGAUGGAGACUUUUCUGCAUUUACAGGACCAAUCAAGCAGGAGAGACCAGCCUCCCCUGUUCCCAGCUGUGUGUCCAUGAAGAGUGACUGGUCUAUGAAUCGUCCUAUAGUGUUUAGAGAGGGAGACUUUUCUACUG